UUUCCGUAGGUGAACCUGCGGAAGGAUCAUUCAUAAUAAGUGUUUUAUGGCACUUUUUUAAAUCCAUAUCCACCUUGUUUGAAAUGUCAGGGUUGAUUUUUUUCUUGAGAGGAUCGUACCAAAACAUCAACGAUAUCUCAACUCUUUGUCUGAAAAAUAUUUUGUAUAAAACAAUUCAAAAUACAACUUUCAACAACGGAUAAAUUGGUUCUGGCUUCGAUGAUGAACGCAGCAGAUAGGAAGAGCACACGUAUGACAUCCAGUCACCCAUAAUCAACA
This 279-nucleotide unclassified non-coding RNA is filed under the name plant metagenome. RNAcentral's name for it is "partial contains small subunit ribosomal RNA, internal transcribed spacer 1, and 5.8S ribosomal RNA". The record is from RNAcentral.